RNAcentral lists this long non-coding RNA (712 nucleotides) under Vigna radiata. Its description in RNAcentral is "long non-coding RNA (VRAD_LNC017461)". Lineage: Eukaryota; Viridiplantae; Streptophyta; Magnoliopsida; Fabales; Fabaceae. The record is from RNAcentral.
AAUACCCCUUAAAAACCCGAAGAACCCGAAAAUAUCCCUAAAAAUCCUAAAAACUCGAAAGUCCCUUAAAACCCCUAAAAACCCAAAAUUAUCCCUUAAAAACCUUGAAAACCCAAAAAUACCCCUUAAAAACCCUGAAAAUCUAAAAAUACCCCUAAAAAAACCUGAAACCCAAAAAUACCCCAAAAAAAACAAAUAAAGCAUAAAGUUCCCUUUACCAAUCUUAAAAACCCAAAAAUCCACCUUAAAAACCAUAAAAACCUGAAAAUACCCCUUAAAUACUCUAAAAACCCAAAAAUAGUCCUUAAAAACCCAAAAAUACCACUAAAAACCACUAAAAACCACUAAAAACCCUCAAAACACUUAUAAACCCCUAAAAACCAAUAUAAACCCCUAAAGAUCACUAAAACCCCCUCAAAAUACUUAUAGACAAAAACCACUAAAAACCCCUCAAAACACUUAUAAGCCCCUAAAAACCCACUAUAAACCCUUCAAAAACGACUAUAAACCCUUCAAAACCACUACAAAACCUCUCAAAACACUUAUAAACCCCUUAAAAACCACUAUAAACCCCUAAAAACCACUAAAACCCCCUCAAAACACUUAUAAACCCCUUAAAAACCACUAUAAACCCCUAAAAACCACUAAAACCCCCUCAAAACACCUAUAAACCCCUUAAAAGUGUGUAUGGGCGAAUAUGUGUGUGUUUGUG